AGCAGCCGCGGUAAUUCCAGCUCCAAUAGCGUAUAUUAAAGUUGUUGCAGUUAAAAAGCUCGUAGUUGAAUUUCGGGGUUAGUAAGUUGGUCAUGCCUUUGGUAUGCACUGGCUUUACUGAUUCCUCCUUCUUGACGAACCGUGAUGUCAUUAAUUUGGUGUUGCGGGAAAUCAGGACUGUCACUUUGAAAAAAUUAGAGUGUUUAAAGCAGGCUAACGCUUGAAUACAUUAGCAUGGAAUAAUGAAAUAGGACGUUAAUCCUAUUUUGUUGGUUUCUAGGAUCGACGUAAUGAUUAAUAGGGAUAGUUGGGGGCAUUAGUAUUCAAUUGUCAGAGGUGAAAUUCUUGGAUUUAUUGAAGACUAACUACUGCGAAAGCAUUUGCCAAGGAUGUUUUCAUUAAUCAAGAACGAAAGCUAGGGGAUCGAAGACGAUCAGAUACCGUCGUAGUCUUAACCAUAAACUAUGCCGACUAGGGAUCGGAUGAUGUCAAUUUAAUGACUCA
This 504-nucleotide ribosomal RNA is filed under the name uncultured fungus. RNAcentral describes it as "SSU rRNA". It matches the Rfam family "Eukaryotic small subunit ribosomal RNA", at positions 569 to 1078 of the family's 1831-position model. Lineage: Eukaryota; Fungi. The record is from RNAcentral.